AUCCACUUGAAGAGUCCCAAACAGGAUGAAACGUGCGUCGUGGAU
RNAcentral lists this non-coding RNA (45 nucleotides) under Schistosoma bovis. RNAcentral also lists the same sequence under 1 other name. Lineage: Eukaryota; Metazoa; Platyhelminthes; Trematoda; Strigeidida; Schistosomatidae. The record is from RNAcentral.